AUUUAUAGAUGAUUUUUCUUUCUUGUCUUUCAGACAUCAAGAAGCUGUUCCGGUUGGCUGGUUUGGACAAGAAGUCCAAAUUCUUCAGAUCGUAGAGGAAUCCUUCCCAGAGGACCUCUGGUGAGGUACCUAACCUCUAUGAGCAGAACAGUUUGUUUGUAUAUGUAUUGUUGUUUAUUUGCAUACUUGUAUUUACAUUUAAAUUGUGGUUCAAUUCUCUUUUUUUUUUAUAAAACCCGAGGUCCAGGAUUCAGUUUAAAAUACAAUGAACAUAUUGGUUCCAUCAAAACCCCAGCACGGAUUUUACACAUGUAAAAAUAGGGAGAUUGUUUUUAUUUUUCAAACCAGCCCAUUUAAGUCAUACAAAAUCUAUAUUUGCAAUGCAAGACAAGGCAGUGGAUCCCCCCACCCCCCAACUCCCUGGUGAGCUACCUGAGAGAGUCCGGUGGGGGACACUGUGUCCUGUAAUAUUCUUGCUCAGUCACAAUAUGUCCCCCCCCUUCCCUCUUAUUCACCCGUUUCGGGAUUUGCUCUUCUCAUUGAAAUCUCAUUCUAUUUUCUGACCAAUUUCUUGGUAUUAUCUUAUCAGUAUUUGCUUGUUAAUACUCUUUCAAUCUGCACCACUAAGUUGACACAUCCACGGCACUUCUUAAAUUCGCUGGUCAUCUAAAAGGUAACUGGUUUCUCCCCCUCCGGCAGCUCAGCGUGUGGUUGCGGCUGAUGGACGCUCGGUGUCGAGCGAAUCAGGUCCGGUCCCCCGGGUGGCGCUGUGACCGUGAGGGCCAUCUGUCUGGACGCAGAUGGACACAAGUGUACUGUUAUUCAUUCAGCACCUCUUCCCCUUCGAGCGGUGCUGAUCCGGUUGUAAUUAGCGGUAUAGGGUACUGGUCACACAUAGAGCCACUAAUUGGGUUGGCAGGGCGCCGUUACCCAGAGCUAAUCACCAUCCUCUGGGUGACGAGGCCCUUUGACCACUCCCUGCUAGCAGGAUCUACAUCACAUUGGCAGGGCUCAGGAAGUCCCGCUACGCUGAUUAACACACACUCUGCUGUUCCUCGCUGUAGGAUGUUCUUUCAAAAAGGCUCUGCUGAGAGUUUUGCCGUUAUUCUUCCCAAAGCUUGCUUGGCGAUGUCGUUCGGCGCGGUCAUUGCUAUGGAAACCGGAUUGUUUGUUAACCAAGUUUAGCAGCUACCAACUGCUCAGUGCUAUGAUACGAGGGAGCGUAAGACACCUGGUGGGAACAAUACGUUGGCAGGGUUUCUUCUUUGCUGAUUCCGAAUGUCCGUUUGGGGUUCCGGGUUCCUGCAGAGCAGAAGACAGAGGCCAACAAGCUGGAGGACGUCAGUAAAACGCACACACAGCUACUAAAUAGAUUCACAUAAUAAGUGGAUUAGCCAUCAACAUGGUGCACAUCCACUUUCUGUUGGAGACUCACUUUUGACAAUUGUGUUUGGGGAUACUUCUGCAGUGGUCGGCUUGGCCAAGGGGACUUUACAGUAAUUACAUGUGACUACAUGUAACAGUCAAUGACAUAUUGGUUUGGGGUUUGUGAGACCCUGUGGUACGGAGACUGGAGCAGACGGGGUUGCAGGCUGUCAUGACCCUGCUGGGCAAAGAGCCUACCAUGAGCAGAAGCCAAGAGACUUUAGGGAUGGAUGAAAAGAGAGUUUGGCAAAGAAACAAGUGAAUACAAAAGUGUUCACAGUGCUCCAAAACUGAAUAGAGCCAAACCAGACGAGUGCAGAUUGUGUUGAGUAAUACUGAAGAAAGGAAAGAUUUAACCAGAAAGAAAGGGAUCACAGAUUGAGAGAGACACCAUUGGUAAGGUUCACUUUCCUCGUGAUAACGGCUUUAUCCAUUUUCAUUGGUUUUUGAAGAUUAUAACAACAAUAACCUCUCUUAAGCUCUUCUGUUGUCAAAUCUUCCUGUGAGGAACUGAAAGAGCUCUUUGUGCACACUCACACUGCAAUAACAUGCCUCAGAAGGAAUUUACAAAACUGAUUAUAUGAAAGCAAUUAGUAGGGUAGUUUUUACAGCUUUUGGCAUACAUUUUGUAUCAGAGACUUCUUACAAGAGGUUUGAACCUAAGCCCGUUUGCGUAUUGUUUUGUUUGUCUUUAGCAACUGCACUACUUUUCCCUCUUGCUCAUCACACUGCUGUGGAGUCUUUUAUUUAGAUAAAUCUACAUCGGGUAAAUCUACGCGGUUUUCUGACCUUAUGUCGCCUUGUGGCUGGCAGGUGAGUCUCUAGGCUAUAGAGCACUAUUGUGUUUUGUGUAUGUUGUUUAGUAUCUCUUAUUUGGGAACAUAAACAGCAUGAGUAUGAGCUGCUGCCUUCAAUUGUCUGUCUGUGAACGAGGUGCAUGUUUGUGUGUGUGUGUGUGUGUGUGUGUGUGUGUGUGUGUGUGUGUGUGUGUGUGUGUGUGUGUGUGUGUGUGUGUGAAUGUGUGUGUGUGUGUGUGUGUGUGUGGGUGUGUGUGUGUGUGUGUGUGUGUGUGUGUGUGUGUUUCUAGCCUAAUAGAUUAUCGAUGCACUGCAGGGUUGGUUGGCUACAGCAGACAGUGGAAAUGGGCCUGGACUCCCUCGAGGAAACAAGAUAUCUCCAAUACACACAUACAAACACACACAGCUAACAAACAUACUGUAGUUACAAACGCAGGCACGAUGUGACUUCAGAGGGAAAAAAGCUCUUAUGUGCAGGACUUUAAAGCACAUUUAGCACACUCACACACACUCAUGUGCAAUUAGACACACCACACACCUGCUGGGCCUUAAGAGGAAGCUGAGCUCCAAUCUGCCUCUAUCUGAAGAUGAAAGGAGGAGAAGAGGAGGGCAGAAACGGGCUGGAGGAGGGAGAGGAGGAGGAGGAGGAGGCGAUGGGGAGAGAGGUACAGGACAAAGAGAGCAGAGGAAGAGGAGGAGCAGAUAUAAAGGGUGAUGGCCGACUGCAUGUGCCCGCCUCUUCUCCCUUUCUCCUUUGUGAACAGAUGGGUGGAAGUAUAAGUUUGUGAUGAAAGC
Long non-coding RNA from Gasterosteus aculeatus aculeatus (three-spined stickleback), 3017 nucleotides. NCBI's taxonomy places the organism in Eukaryota, Metazoa, Chordata, Actinopteri, Perciformes, Gasterosteidae. The record is from Ensembl.